GAUUUCUUGGUGUAGUUGGUUAUCACGUCUGCCUAACACGCAGACGGUCGCCGGUUCGAACCCGGCAGAAAUCA
Transfer RNA from Linderina pennispora, 74 nucleotides. It matches the Rfam family "tRNA". Rfam says of the family: Transfer RNA (tRNA) molecules are approximately 80 nucleotides in length. Their secondary structure includes four short double-helical elements and three loops (D, anti-codon, and T loops). Further hydrogen bonds mediate the characteristic L-shaped molecular structure. tRNAs have two regions of fundamental functional importance: the anti-codon, which is responsible for specific mRNA codon recognition, and the 3' end, to which the tRNAs corresponding amino acid is attached (by aminoacyl-tRNA synthetases). tRNAs cope with the degeneracy of the genetic code in two manners: having more than one tRNA (with a specific anti-codon) for a particular amino acid; and 'wobble' base-pairing, i.e. permitting non-standard base-pairing at the 3rd anti-codon position. The record is from Rfam. Lineage: Eukaryota; Fungi; Kickxellomycota; Kickxellomycetes; Kickxellales; Kickxellaceae.